CCUACGGGAGGCUGCAGUGGGGAAUAUUGCACAGUGGGCGCAAGCCUGAUGCAGCCAUGCCGCGUGUGUGAAGAAGGCCUUCGGGUUGUAAAGCACUUUCAGCGGGGAGGAAGGCGUUAAGGUUAAUAACCUUGGCGAUUGACGUUACCCGCAGAAGAAGCACCGGCUAACUCCGUGCCAGCAGCCGCGGUAAUACGGAGGGUGCAAGCGUUAAUCGGAAUUACUGGGCGUAAAGCGCACGCAGGCGGUCUGUCAAGUCGGAUGUGAAAUCCCCGGGCUCAACCUGGGAACUGCAUUCGAAACUGGCAGGCUAGAGUCUUGUAGAGGGGGGUAGAAUUCCAGGUGUAGCGGUGAAAUGCGUAGAGAUCUGGAGGAAUACCGGUGGCGAAGGCGGCCCCCUGGACAAAGACUGACGCUCAGGUGCGAAAGCGUGGGGAGCAAACAGGAUUAGAUACCCCGGUAGUC
RNAcentral lists this ribosomal RNA (465 nucleotides) under uncultured Klebsiella sp. RNAcentral describes it as "bacterial SSU rRNA". It matches the Rfam family "Bacterial small subunit ribosomal RNA", at positions 338 to 795 of the family's 1533-position model. Lineage: Bacteria; Pseudomonadati; Pseudomonadota; Gammaproteobacteria; Enterobacterales; Enterobacteriaceae. The record is from RNAcentral.